This 1009-nucleotide long non-coding RNA is filed under the name Struthio camelus australis. Its description in RNAcentral is "lncRNA (ENSSCUG00000009759.1)". Lineage: Eukaryota; Metazoa; Chordata; Aves; Struthioniformes; Struthionidae. The record is from RNAcentral.
AAAAAACCCAAAUUCUUGGAGCUUCCUCUCCAACAACACUAGAAAAUGUGUGCUUGUUUCCUCCACCCCUGAAUUCUAUUAGAUUAGAAAACACAGGUAACCCAGGCAACUUGGUCUUGUGGAUUCAUUUUAUUCUUUUCUUCCCUUUCUCAAAUGCUAAACAGUAGACUGUAACGGUGUCACAACAACUGCAACUCUCUAACUUCAUUUUUCAGCUUGAACCUUGUUAGCUUUAUCAUUGUGGGCGUCAAACUCUCAGGCUGCACCAUCAAAAGAGACUACAGCUCAUCAAUCCUUCUUGAUCAGGAAAUGCCAGAGCCUAACACAUCCUGGUGCAAAAACACGUCUGAAGCCAUCAUUUUUACCAGCUUCGUCGAGCAGGGUCAAAACACUUUGAAGAAGUUAAAAAGGGUCAUGCCAGAUUCAGCAUUGAAAAAGACUCCGGGAAAUUGAAAUGUCUUGGGAAAGCUAUUGCAAUUAAACUGGGCUGGUUUCUCAUUCCUGGAAAGUGAUGGAAUCAAGCUAAUUUAUACCACUGGUGCUCUGACCUGGUAUCUGUGCUGUGACUUUUAUAUGAGAGCACUGCCACGACCAGCAAAUUCAUAGUCCUACGGAUUGCUGUUCUUCACCUCAGAUCACAGCAACAACUCCAAAAAAUGUUCAGCAUCAUUAUCCCAAUUAUUCUGAAUUUUCCUUUUCAACAUGGAUAUCAGGAUGCUAUUCACUGCAAAAGCAAAUAUUGUAAUUCAUGCUGCACAGGACCACUUUUGAAAAUCAUCUGGAAAUGCCCACUGGCAUCACUUACAGCUGUCUAUUUUUCAAGGAGAUCCUGAAGAUGAAUUGGUGACAUAGAAAUAGACUGUGAUCAAGAAGCAAAGAAGGCAGAAUGGAAAGAAGGAAGAGAAGAAGAAAGACUGUGAUGUAUUAGGUCAUCUAUAAGCAGAGCCAGAAAACUGUUUCUCCUAUCAACAUGCAAGUUAGCAAUAAAAGUACUUUGCACUUAAUACCA